RNAcentral lists this ribosomal RNA (253 nucleotides) under uncultured bacterium. Its description in RNAcentral is "partial 16S ribosomal RNA". It matches the Rfam family "Bacterial small subunit ribosomal RNA", at positions 524 to 776 of the family's 1533-position model. The record is from RNAcentral.
UACGGAGGGUGCAAGCGUUAAUCGGAAUUACUGGGCGUAAAGCGCGCGUAGGCGGCUGGAUAAGUCGAUUGUGAAAGCCCCGGGCUCAACCUGGGAAUUGCAGUCGAGACUGUUCGGCUAGAGUGUGGGAGAGGGCAGUGGAAUUCCCGGUGUAGCGGUGAAAUGCGUAGAUAUCGGGAGGAACAUCAGUGGCGAAGGCGACUAACUGGACAUGUAUUGACGCUGAGGUGCGAAAGCGUGGGGAGCAAACAGG